This is a long non-coding RNA of Amphiprion ocellaris (clown anemonefish), 2446 nucleotides long. Lineage: Eukaryota; Metazoa; Chordata; Actinopteri; Pomacentridae. The record is from Ensembl.
GUUUUUUUUCUUCUCCAUUUCUGUGUUUAUCUGAAGUACAAAGACGUUACAGAUUUACUCUGAAUCCACAAAUACUUCUAUAUUUACACAAACAGGUGCAAUUUCAGAGGUGAAAGGGGAACGCAGUGUUGUUUACUGACCUUAAAGUCUAUUUUUGAUCUGAGAUGAAGUCGUGUUUUGUCGGUUCUUAACUUAUUUAUUGUUUUUAACGAUUCCGUGGAGUUUUACAUGACGGCGGAGCUGCCUUUGAACAAGCUGCUGCUUCUUUACAAAAAAAUCUACAACCAAGUCUGUUAAACUCUCUGUGCUGUCACUGGAAGACCCUGGCUAACCACUAGCAUGGCUAGGCUAGCAAAUAGCAUCUCUAGCCAAGUCACAUCAUUAGCAUCUCUAGGCUAGCCACUAGCAUUCCUCAGCAAGUCAUUAGCACCCCUAGGCUAGCCACUAGCAUUCCUCAGCAAGUCAUUAGCAUCCUUAGACUAGCCACUAGCAUUCCCCAGCAAGUCAUUAGCACCACUAGGCUAGCCACUAGCAUCUCUAGGCUUGAGACUAGAAUUCUGAGGUUAUCCACUAGUAUUACUAGGCUAGAAAUAGGCUAGCGUCUAGCAUCUCUAGUUUUGAGACUAGCAUUCCUAGGCUAGCCACGAGUAUUCCUUGAUUAGCAACUAGCAUCCCUAGGUUUGAGACUAGAAUUCUGAGGUUAGCCAUGAGUAUUCCUUGGCUAGAAAUAGGCCAGUAAUUAGCAUCCCUAGGCUUGUCACUAGCAGUAUUAUGCUAAUGGCUUAUAUAGCUCGUCUAAGCUAGGGUAGCAACAAGAAUAUUUAAGCUAAUCAUUAGCAUUUUGAGGCUAGUGAGGAGCAUUUCUAGGCAAGUCACCAGUACUCUAAGGUUCUGAUAGAAUAGUCAUUAGCACUCCUAGACAAAUCAUUAGCAUUCCUAGGUUAGCAGUAGGCUAGUAACUAGCAUCCUGAGGCUAAUGACCAGCAUUCCCAGGCUUUGCUAAGCUAAAAACUCUAAUUCUUCGGCCUGUCACUUGGUUUCCGAGCAUAACGACCAGCUGAGGGGUUGUAACUUCUUUAAUCUUUGUUUUUUCUGUGAAUUACUGCUUAUUUUUACUUCUUUAUAUGGGUGGAGACUAGUCAAGGUUUUUCUUGUAAGUAUGGUUAAUUCAGAAGCUAUUUUACAAGCGAACAUCUUAAAAAAUGUAGUCUUAAUCUGUAGCCAGUGACCAAAGCUAAAAGAAACCACAAGUACCUCUGGAAUGUACAGAGCUGUAAUAGAGAAACUAAGACUUUUACUUUGAAAGUCUCAUGGAGCUCAGAUCAAAGGCAGCUUCACCCUCUGUGUGUUUUUAUGUCUGUAAAUAAUUAUUCUGAAUCCUAACCUGAGCUGAACACCAGUUUCAGAGGCACAAGGGAACAGGAUGCUUCAGAUGAUCUAUUUUAACAAAUGUUCCUCAGAUGUUCGGAUCAGAACCAGAACUGGUUUCCCCUGAAAAGUCUUGAAUCGUGGCUUCAGUCACAUGGAGCAGUCCGCCUUUUUUAUUCCAAAUGUUUUUACACACUAACCACUCUUUCAGCUGAGAACAUUUUUACCAGAAAAACAUUAAAAUCAAGUUUGUCCUCAAAGUGAAUAUUGGAGAGAAGUAACGAGGAACAUGCAGCGAUGUCAGAUUCACACUGUGAACAACGAGGCUAACGCAUCUAGUACGGGUUAUUAUAUAGCAUUAUAGUCAGCAGAAUUUACAGGAAACUGGCCAGUAGCAGCUAAAUUUAAGGUCUUCGUGGCUUUGUUCCAUCUUCAUUACACUGGAAAAAAAUGCCCUCUCAAAACAAGAAAAAAACUACUUUUUUUAAGGAACUUUUACUUUCAAAUAAGUGAAAAAAUCUGCCAAUAGAACAAGUGAAAAUGGUUUGGUAAGAUUUCUAGAAAUAAGAUAUGAUAUUUAGAAUAUUGAGAUCUUAAAAUUAGCUGGGAAAACUUAUUUUAAGCUCUAUUUUACCAGGAUUGUCAAGCUUAGGUGUCUUAAAAUAAGCCAGAUAUGCUUAAAAAAUAUAGUAGUUUUUCACUCAAAAAUAGAUUUUUGCUUUCAUGUAACCUCCUAAUUUGAGAUGUUUUAACCCUCCUGUUGUCCUCAUUUACGGGCACCAAAAAAUAUUGUUUCCUUGUCUGAAAAAAAAAUCCAAAAAUUCAGCAAAAAAAUUCCCCAAAUUUCUGAAAAUUUGCAAAACCUUCAGGAAGAAAAUUCCAAUAAUUUCUUAAGUUUCCCUUAAAAGUUUUGUUUUUUAAAAAUCCCCCAAAUUUGGCAAUUCUUGCAAAUAUUUUCAAAAAAUGAGUAAAAAUCUUGCAAAAAAUCCUAAAAAUAUCUAAAGUGAUUCCAUAUAUAUCAGUAAAACUUGUAAUAUUAUCUUUAAGAACAUUCACAUAAAAAUCAACCAAAAUCCAG